CAGGCCUAACACAUGCAAGUCGAACGAUGCCUUCGGGUCUAGUGGCGCACGGGUGCGUAACGCGUGGGAAUCUGCCCUUGGGUUCGGAAUAACAGCGAGAAAUUGCUGCUAAUACCGGAUGAUGACGUAAGUCCAAAGAUUUAUCGCCCAGGGAUGAGCCCGCGUAGGAUUAGCUAGUUGGUGGGGUAAAGGCCUACCAAGGCGACGAUCCUUAGCUGGUCUGAGAGGAUGAUCAGCCACACUGGGACUGAGAUACGGACCCAACUCCUACGGGAGGCAGCAGUAGGGAAUAUUGGGCAAUGGAGGCAACUCUGACCCAGCCAUGCCGCGUGCAGGAUGAAGGCGCUCAGCGUUGUAAACUGCUUUUACUCAUGAAGAACUAUGGUCCUGCGGGAUUAUUUGACGGUAAUGAGGGAAUAAGCACCGGCUAACUCCGUGCCAGCAGCCGCGGUAAU
RNAcentral lists this ribosomal RNA (455 nucleotides) under uncultured bacterium. RNAcentral's name for it is "bacterial SSU rRNA". It matches the Rfam family "Bacterial small subunit ribosomal RNA", at positions 43 to 524 of the family's 1533-position model. The record is from RNAcentral.